AUUUUAGUGUUAUUUCUAAAUUGAAUGAGACUUCUAAUCAGAUUAGGAUUGAGCGUAUAAAUAGGAGAAUAAUGAAAAGAUUAUUUAGCUUUGCCCAUAGGGACUAGCUUUGCCCAUGGAGAGAGGUUGUCGUCUAUUGUAGAGAGGGAUUUUGCCAAUUGCUGAGGAUUUAGCUUCACUUAUUUAUGAGGGGUACUUACCCAUUACAGUGGAGAGAGACUUCGG
This 225-nucleotide unclassified non-coding RNA is filed under the name Hevea brasiliensis (rubber tree). Lineage: Eukaryota; Viridiplantae; Streptophyta; Magnoliopsida; Malpighiales; Euphorbiaceae. The record is from RNAcentral.